UGGGGAAUAUUGGACAAUGGGCGAAAGCCUGAUCCAGCCAUGCCGCGUGUGUGAAGAAGGUCGUCGGAUUGUAAAGCACUUUAAGUUGGGAGGAAGGGCAGUAAGCGAAUACCUUGCUGUUUUGACGUUACCGACAGAAUAAGCACCGGCUAACUCUGUGCCAGCAGCCGCGGUAAUACAGAGGGUGCAAGCGUUAAUCGGAAUUACUGGGCGUAAAGCGCGCGUAGGUGGUUCGUUAAGUUGAAUGUGAAAGCCCCGGGCUCAACCUGGGAACUGCAUCCAAAACUGGCGAGCUAGAGUAGGGCAGAGGGUGGUGGAAUUUCCUGUGUAGCGGUGAAAUGCGUAGAUAUAGGAAGGAACACCAGUGGCGAAGGCGACCACCUGGGCUCAUACUGACACUGAGGUGCGAAAGCGUGGGGAGCAAACAGG
RNAcentral lists this ribosomal RNA (429 nucleotides) under Pseudomonadota bacterium. Its description in RNAcentral is "Proteobacteria bacterium partial 16S ribosomal RNA". It matches the Rfam family "Bacterial small subunit ribosomal RNA", at positions 355 to 776 of the family's 1533-position model. Lineage: Bacteria; Pseudomonadati; Pseudomonadota. The record is from RNAcentral.